This 75-nucleotide ribosomal RNA is filed under the name uncultured bacterium. Its description in RNAcentral is "partial 16S ribosomal RNA". It matches the Rfam family "Bacterial small subunit ribosomal RNA", at positions 280 to 354 of the family's 1533-position model. The record is from RNAcentral.
CCCAUAGCCGGACUGAGAGGUUGAACGGCCACAUUGGGACUGAGACACGGCCCAGACUCCUACGGAAGGCAGCAG